Molecule: ribosomal RNA, 275 nt
Filed under: uncultured prokaryote
Description: partial 16S ribosomal RNA
Rfam family: Bacterial small subunit ribosomal RNA
Source: RNAcentral
UACGAAGGGUGCAAGCGUUACUCGGAAUUACUGGGCGUAAAGGGUGCGUAGGUGGUUCGUUAAGUCUGAUGUGAAAGCCCUGGGCUCAACCUGGGAAUUGCAUUGGAUACUGGCGGGCUGGAGUGCGGUAGAGGGUAGUGGAAUUCCCGGUGUAGCGGUGAAAUGCGUAGAUAUCGGGAGGAACAUCCGUGGCGAAGGCGACUGCCUGGACCAGCACUGACACUGAGGCACGAAAGCGUGGGGAGCAAACAGGAUUAGAUACCCCGGUAGUUCCU